This 697-nucleotide long non-coding RNA is filed under the name Helianthus annuus (common sunflower). RNAcentral describes it as "sRNA HanXRQr2_Chr10g0437201". The record is from RNAcentral. Lineage: Eukaryota; Viridiplantae; Streptophyta; Magnoliopsida; Asterales; Asteraceae.
GUAUCUUCUCAGUUAUCCAUCUCUCUUUCUCUUUUCCAUUACAACUAAUCACCACCACAUCAUUUCCGGCUACCACCGCCAUCAAUUCCGGCCACCUGAAACCUAUCUAAACCCAUCUCCCCGACUUAAAAAACGCACAUGUAACCCAAAAAAAUAGCCUGAACCCUAGCAUAUUCGGAUUUCAGAUCCAGUCUUGUGGAUUUAGAUCCGCCGCCAUCCUGGUCUUUUAAUUCAGAUCUAGUCUUGAGGUAGGUGGGUAUGACCCAAACAGGUUCGCCGCCAACGAACUAGGGCAUGGCCCAAAUCAUUGGCUAGUGGUGGUGGGUGGUUUCCGGCUAUGGUGGAGGUUUCUGGUGUGGUGGAGGAUAGGGUUUUCAAAUUUAGAAAAGGGUUUAAAAUUUAAAGAUUGUGGUAAUGGUUGGUUGUGGUGGUUUGAUGUUGGUGUUUGCCGGUAAUGAUAGUUGGUGGUAUUUGUGGCUAAAUUUAUGUUUUAGGUGUUCUGUUCUUUAAAAUUAGAUGGUGAAAGCAAAUAUUUUUGUGGGAGAAGAUGAUUUGAAGCAUAUAUCUAAACAUGUUAAUGAGAUAGAUGGAGGUCCUGUAAAUAUAAUCUAAUAUGCUCUUUCUUGAUCCUUUUUUGAUUGUUGUGAUGGGUUUGGUACCACUAGACUUGUUGUUGUUUUUAGUGAGUGCAGGUAAU